GUGAACGCUGGCGGUAGGCCUAACCCCUGCAAGUCGCACGGCAGCACAGUAAGAGCUUGCUCUUACGGGUGGCGAGUGGCGGACGGGUGAGGAAUACAUCGGAAUCUACUUUUUCGUGGGGGAUAACGUAGGGAAACUUACGCUAAUACCUCAUACGACCUACGGGUGAAAGCAGGGGAUCUUCGGACCUUGCGCGGUUGAAUGAGCCGAUGUCGGAUUAGCUAGUUGGCGGGGUAAAGGCCCACCAUUGCGACGAUCCGUAGCUGGUCUGAGAGGAAGAUCAGCCACCCUAGAACUGAGAAACCGUCCAGGCUCCUACGGGAGGCAACAGUCGGGAACAUUGGACAAUGGGCGCAAGCCUGAUCCAGCCAUACCGCGUGGGUGAAGAAGGCCUUCGGGUUCUAAAGCCCUUUUGUUGGGAAAGAAAAGCAGCAGGUUAAUACCCCGCUGUUCUGACGGUACCCAAAGAAUAAGCACCGGCUAACUUCGUG
RNAcentral lists this ribosomal RNA (491 nucleotides) under uncultured bacterium. RNAcentral's name for it is "partial 16S ribosomal RNA". It matches the Rfam family "Bacterial small subunit ribosomal RNA", at positions 29 to 507 of the family's 1533-position model. The record is from RNAcentral.